GAUGAACGCUGGCGGCGUGCCUAAUACAUGCAAGUCGAGCGAACAGACGAGGAGCUUGCUCCUCUGACGUUAGCGGCGGACGGGUGAGUAACACGUGGAUAACCUACCUAUAAGACUGGGAUAACUUCGGGAAACCGGAGCUAAUACCGGAUAAUAUAUUGAACCGCAUGGUUCAAUAGUGAAAGACGGUUUUGCUGUCACUUAUAGAUGGAUCCGCGCCGCAUUAGCUAGUUGGUAAGGUAACGGCUUACCAAGGCAACGAUGCGUAGCCGACCUGAGAGUGUGAUCGGCCACACUGGAACUGAGACACGGUCCAGACUCCUACGGGAGGCAGCAGUAGGGAAUCUUCCGCAAUGGGCGAAAGCUUGACGGAGCAACGCCGCGUGAGUGAUGAAGGUCUUCGGAUCGUAAAACUCUGUUAUUAGGGAAGAACAAAUGUGUAAGUAACUAUGCCCGUCGUGACGGUACCUAAUCAGAAAGCCACGGCUAACUACGUG
RNAcentral lists this ribosomal RNA (497 nucleotides) under uncultured bacterium. Its description in RNAcentral is "partial 16S ribosomal RNA". It matches the Rfam family "Bacterial small subunit ribosomal RNA", at positions 28 to 507 of the family's 1533-position model. The record is from RNAcentral.